Molecule: ribosomal RNA, 720 nt
Filed under: uncultured bacterium
Lineage: Bacteria
Description: bacterial SSU rRNA
Rfam family: Bacterial small subunit ribosomal RNA
Source: RNAcentral
GAGUUUGAUCCUGGCUCAGGAUGAACGCUGGCGGCGUGCCUAAUACAUGCAAGUCGAACGAGAUUUUAUUAAUUGAUUACUUCGGUAUGAUUUUUCUAAAAUCGAGUGGCGGAUGGGUGAGUAACACGUGGGUAACCUGCCCUUAAGUAGGGGAUAACAUUUGGAAACAGAUGCUAAUACCGUAUAAAUCUCAGAAACACAUGUUUCUGAGCUGAAAGGCGGCUUUCGAGCUGUCGCUUUUGGAUGGACCCGCGGCGUAUUAGCUAGUUGGUGAGGUAAAGGCUCACCAAGGCAGUGAUACGUAGCCGACCUGAGAGGGUGAUCGGCCACAUUGGGACUGAGACACGGCCCAAACUCCUACGGGAGGCAGCAGUAGGGAAUCUUCCACAAUGGACGAAAGUCUGAUGGAGCAACGCCGCGUGAGUGAAGAAGGUUUUCGGAUCGUAAAACUCUGUUGUUGGAGAAGAACACGUUUGAGAGUAACUGUUCAGACGUUGACGGUAUCCAACCAGAAAGCCACGGCUAACUACGUGCCAGCAGCCGCGGUAAUACGUAGGUGGCAAGCGUUAUCCGGAUUUAUUGGGCGUAAAGCGAGCGCAGGCGGUUUUUUAAGUCUGAUGUGAAAGCCUUCGGCUUAACCGAAGAAGUGCAUCGGAAACUGGGAAACUUGAGUGCAGAAGAGGACAGUGGAACUCCAUGUGUAGCGGUGAAAUGCGUAGA